GGAGGGGCUGCGGCUAGGAGGCGGCAACGGAGAAGACAGCAGCAGGACAGAGAAGAAUUGGCCCUAAUGCACACAACCACUGGCUUGGAGCUCUGUUAGCCCAUGCACAUGAAGACCUCAUUUUGGAAAAGAGCCCCUUUGAUGACUCCCUGGAGUUCCCUCACUUGAUAUCAUUGUCCAUGCCAUGCUAUGUGCUGUGCCGUGCCACAAAACCUUGUG
This is a long non-coding RNA of Lagopus leucura (white-tailed ptarmigan), 219 nucleotides long. RefSeq lists it as uncharacterized. The record is from RefSeq and is a predicted model, not a curated record. NCBI's taxonomy places the organism in Eukaryota, Metazoa, Chordata, Aves, Galliformes, Phasianidae. The transcript is spliced from 3 exons.